AGAGCUCAGCACGCAGGGGUGGC
RNAcentral lists this microRNA (23 nucleotides) under Culex quinquefasciatus (southern house mosquito). RNAcentral describes it as "cqu-miR-2951-5p". Lineage: Eukaryota; Metazoa; Arthropoda; Insecta; Diptera; Culicidae. The record is from miRBase by way of RNAcentral.